RNAcentral lists this ribosomal RNA (497 nucleotides) under uncultured bacterium. RNAcentral's name for it is "partial 16S ribosomal RNA". It matches the Rfam family "Bacterial small subunit ribosomal RNA", at positions 28 to 507 of the family's 1533-position model. The record is from RNAcentral.
GAUGAACGCUGGCGGCGUGCCUAAUACAUGCAAGUCGAGCGAACAGACCAUGAGCUUGCUCCUCUGACGUUAGCGGCAGACGGGUGAGUCACACGUGGAUCACCUCCCUAUAAUUCUGGGAACACUUCGGGAAACCGGCGCAUAUACCAGAGGAUCUCUUGCACCGCAGGGUUCGAUAGAAAGAUACGGUUUUGCUGUCUCUACUAGAUGGUUACGCGCCGCAUUAGCUAGUUGGUAAGGUAACGGCUUACCAAGGCAACGAUGCGUAGCCGACCUGAGAGGGUGAUCGGCCACACUGGAACUGAGACACGGUCCAGACUCCUACGGGAGGCAGCAGUAGGGAAUCUGCCGCAAUGGGCGAAAGCAUGACGGAGCAAGGGCGCGUGAGUGAUGAAGGUCUUCGGAUCGUAAAACCCUGUUAUGGGGGAAGAACAAAUGUGGAAGUAACUAUGCACGUCGUGACGGUAACUAAUAAGAAAGCAACGGCUAACUACGUG